This 484-nucleotide ribosomal RNA is filed under the name uncultured bacterium. RNAcentral's name for it is "partial 16S ribosomal RNA". It matches the Rfam family "Bacterial small subunit ribosomal RNA", at positions 30 to 507 of the family's 1533-position model. The record is from RNAcentral.
AUUGAACGCCGGCGGCAGGCCUAACACAUGCAAGUCGAGCGGAUGAAGGGAGCUUGCUCCUGGAUUCAGCGGCGGACGGGUGAGUAAUGCCUAGGAAUCUGCCUGGUAGUGGGGGAUAACGUCCGGAAACGGGCGCUAAUACCGCAUACGUCCUGAGGGAGAAAGUGGGGGAUCUUCGGACCUCACGCUAUCAGAUGAGCCUAGGUCGGAUUAGCUAGUUGGUGGGGUAAAGGCCUACCAAGGCGACGAUCCGUAACUGGUCUGAGAGGAUGAUCAGUCACACUGGAACUGAGACACGGUCCAGACUCCUACGGGAGGCAGCAGUGGGGAAUAUUGGACAAUGGGCGAAAGCCUGAUCCAGCCAUGCCGCGUGUGUGAAGAAGGUCUUCGGAUUGUAAAGCACUUUAAGUUGGGAGGAAGGGCAGUAAGUUAAUACCUUGCUGUUUUGACGUUACCAACAGGAUAAGCACCGGCUAACUUCAUG